AUAUUUUACAAUGGGGGGAACCCUGAUCCAGCCCUCCCGCGUGUGUGAUGAAGGCCUUNGGGGUUNANAGAACUUUUGGCAGAGGNGGAAAAGUAUCUCCUAAUACGAGAUACUGCUGGCGUUAUCUGCAGCAUAAGCACCGGCUAACUACGUGCCAGCAGCCGCGGUAAUACGUAGGGUGCUAGCGUUAAUCGGAAUUACUGGGCGUAAAGCGCACGUAGGCGGACUUGAUAGAAAGGUGUGAAAUCCCAGGGCUCAACCCUGGAACUGCACUUGAAACUGCAAGUCUUGAGUCCGAGAGAGGUGAGUAGAAUUCCUAGUGUAGAAGUGAAAUUCGUAGAUAUUAGGAAGAACACCAAUGGCGAAGGCAGCUCACUGGGACAAUACUGACGCUGAGAUGCGAAAGCGUGGGGAGCAAACAGG
Molecule: ribosomal RNA, 423 nt
Filed under: uncultured bacterium
Lineage: Bacteria
Description: partial 16S ribosomal RNA
Rfam family: Bacterial small subunit ribosomal RNA
Source: RNAcentral